This is a long non-coding RNA of Hemiscyllium ocellatum (epaulette shark), 462 nucleotides long. RefSeq lists it as uncharacterized. The record is from RefSeq and is a predicted model, not a curated record. NCBI's taxonomy places the organism in Eukaryota, Metazoa, Chordata, Chondrichthyes, Orectolobiformes, Hemiscylliidae. The transcript is spliced from 3 exons.
GUGAGUGAAAGAGGUUUGUUUGAAACAGACCGCCAUGGAGAGAUCAGCGCCCAGGGAAGCGAAAGAACAACAGGCUCCUUCCAGCAGCACAUCGGGAUGGGAGACUGGGACACAGAGGGGGCUCCGAGACCGGGAUUGAUUCGGGCUGCAUUAUCCUCCGUCUUCCUCCAAGCAACUAUUUGAAUGAUGAAGACAAUGUCAUAUUUUCUCAGUACAAGGCCAAGUGUGACCAGCUGCUUCUAACAAACAGCAGGCAAAUACUUGAAGGAUCAAGACAAUGUAAUAUUCCCUCGGUACAGAGCCAAGUGUGACCAGCUGCUCCUAACAAACAGCAGGUAUGUUAAUGCUGUCAGAGUGAAGACCAUUCUUUCCACUGUUAGAGCGAAUUGAGUCAGCUACACAUUGAGCUCAGUUUGAGAUAAAGAUGUUCAAACAAUUGAGAAAAUAUCAGUUUGUUUCUUU